CCUACGGGAGGCUGCAGUGGGGAAUAUUGCACAAUGGGGGAAACCCUGAUGCAGCGACGCCGCGUGAGUGAAGAAGGAAUUCGUUAUGUAAAGCUCUAUCAGCAGGGAAGAAAAUGACGGUACCUGAGUAAGAAGCCCCGGCUAACUACGUGCCAGCAGCCGCGGUAAUACGUAGGGGGCAAGCGUUAUCCGGAUUUACUGGGGGGAAAGGGAGCGUAGACGGCAGUGCAAGUCUGGAGUGAAAGGCGGGGGCUCAACCCCCGGAGUGCUCUGGAAACUGUACGGCUGGAGUGCAGGAGAGGUAAGUGGAAUGCGUAGUGUAGCGGUGAAAUGCGUAGAUAUUAGGAGGAACACCAGUGGCGAAGGCGGCUUACUGGACUGUAACUGACGUUGAGGCUCGAAAGCGUGGGGAGCAAACAGGAUUAGAUAUCCGAGUAGUC
This 440-nucleotide ribosomal RNA is filed under the name uncultured bacterium. Its description in RNAcentral is "partial 16S ribosomal RNA". It matches the Rfam family "Bacterial small subunit ribosomal RNA", at positions 338 to 795 of the family's 1533-position model. The record is from RNAcentral.